Molecule: long non-coding RNA, 774 nt
Filed under: Mus musculus (house mouse)
Lineage: Eukaryota; Metazoa; Chordata; Mammalia; Rodentia; Muridae
Description: long non-coding RNA chr11:76133976-76134750
Source: RNAcentral
AACCGUCCUACUAUGAGAAAGCCUGAGACACCCAUGAGGACAACACAGAUCUCAGUCCAUAGGCUAGCUGAGUUCUCAGCUGACAGUGAACAUCAUUUACUAGCCAUGGUAGCCAGCUCCUCUGGUUCCAUCUUCAGCUGCCUUAACUGAUGGUGUCUGGAGCAGAGAAGAAAUAUUACCCAAGCCUGGCCAAGUCUUAUGAUCAAAAUAACUAUUUUAAACCAACAGUUCUGCAGACAAUGGAGAGUUGUGCACACACAUACAUACACAUGAGUGUACUAGUUGACUUGGGUAGGCUGCAAAGACAAGGUAUAAAGGGCACUGUAGGGUGAGGUCACAUAGCAUCUGCAGCUGCUUCCUAGAAUAAGGUGGAGAAAGCAUGCAGCACCAUCUUUUCUUAUGGAAAGACCAUUGUCUGUGAGGAUAUCUUACCUUUCAGAAAGCUGUCGGAUCUGUGGGAUUCCCAUGUAUUUGUGAAAGUGCUCCAGAACAUUCAUUACACCCUGAAGGAGAUUAGCAACUUCUCCAUACUGUCUGCGCCUGGUCAUGGCUCUGCAAGGACAGAAGUUGAGACGUAGUCACUGAAGAGACAAGAUAGAAGACGUGGGACGACUUGCGAGACCCAGAUAUCUCUGAAGACACAAGAUAGCAGGUGUGGGAUGAUCUACAAGAGCUAGAUUUAGUAUAAGUACUGGGGAAGGAAAGAUUAGGAUUUAGCUCCAACUCUCAAGGUGACAUCAUUUAAUAAUGGGAGUGUCAAGUAAACAUUUAACU